Molecule: long non-coding RNA, 277 nt
Filed under: Brassica napus (rape)
Lineage: Eukaryota; Viridiplantae; Streptophyta; Magnoliopsida; Brassicales; Brassicaceae
Description: long non-coding RNA (BNAP_LNC014022)
Source: RNAcentral
UUGGUGAAGACUUGGGAUCUAAGUCGGCUGUUACCAAACAUGUUUUCUGCGCGCUUCGCUGUCGAUCGAUGUCAAGAAGUGAACGUCGAUCGAUUAUUCCUCUUCAAUAUCGACCGAUGGUCGAGCUCGAUGGUCAUCUCGGGUGCUUACUCCAAAUAUCUCCAAAAUGCUCCAAAAUCAUCACUUUUCUCCAAAUCACUCCUGAUCCUAUCAAUAUUCUAAAUAGACUAUAUAAUAAAAUAAUUAAUAGUUAAAACACUUAUAAACCAUGGGUAAA